ACAACAUCCAAACAGCUGCGAAGGCACCGGCACCGCAUUGUGCAAGAGCAAGACCGCUCGCCGGCUCCGAGCUCUCCGCAUUAUCCCCAGUCAAAGUACCUAACCGGAGCUGCGGCCACCAAGAGCUGCGGCCAAAUACCUAACCGGAGGAACCGCCCGUUAGCUUCGUCUAGAGUUUUGCUGGUCUCGCCGCCGCAGAUCUGACCCGUCGUGCCGCGUUUCGCUGAGAUGGCAAUCACAGUGAGGCGAUUGACGAUGGUGUUGUCGGAGCGGGAGGUGCAACGGCGACAGCCGUGGAAUCCCAACCUCGACCUUGUGGAGUCCUAAAAAAAGGGGAAAAAAACUCGACCUUGUGGUGCCGCGCAGCAAGCCGAGUGUCUAUCUCUACCGAGCCGCGCUGGAAGGUUCUUCGACGGAGAGCGGAUGCGGCACGCUCCGGCGGAGGCGCUCGUGCCGUUCGAUCCGAUUGCGGGCCGGCUCACGCGGGACGAGGACGGAAGGGUGGAGAUCGGCUACAAUGGGGAGGGAGGUGCUCUUCGUCGAGGCUGCUGCUCCGGCACCGCCAUUGAUUACUACAGCGACUUCGCGCUCACCGUGGACUUCAAGCACAUCAUCCUGGCGGUAUACUACAACAAUCAUCCCGGCCAGUUGACGGCAUUUCAGCCUUCCCCCUCCUCGUGCUCAGGUGAGCUCAGAAUGCAUUACAAGCUGCACAUGACGACUAAAUUGGCAUACUUUAUGUUUUGUACCUGAUUGAAAAGUUUGUGACUGAUGCAAUCGCAACCAUGCUUUAUAAUGGCGAAUCAUGUAACCUUGAAUUCUGCUCCUGUUAUUUAAAUUGUCAGUAACGUCAGGUUGGGAGUUGGGUCUCUUGUUUGACUGAUUUUUAAUCCUCAGAGACACUUUUACCCUGGUUGUUGCUGUCUUGUUCUCCUUUAUGGGAGCUCUAUUCUUGGCUUGAUUUGUCAAAUGAUCUGAAGCGGUGCUUGGUUAUGCUUAAAGUGUCUGCUACCAUCAAUGUAUUCAUCAGUGUCCAAUGAAAUAAACUCUUGCUUAAUCUUGAAUAGCUAGGAGCAAAUUAUUAACAAAUUGACAAGUGGUUGUAUUUUAUUGGUUUGUCGAUAUUUGCCAUAUAAUCAAUGUUGGCAUGCUUUUGCUUGCAUCAUAUCAAAGCACACACUGGUCAAGAAGGUUGGUGAUCAGAAAUUGAGAAUAUAGUCUUGCAAAA
Molecule: long non-coding RNA, 1228 nt
Organism: Panicum virgatum (switchgrass)
Lineage: Eukaryota; Viridiplantae; Streptophyta; Magnoliopsida; Poales; Poaceae
Exons: 2
Source: RefSeq, a predicted model, not a curated record